GACGAACGCUGGCGGCGUGCUUAACACAUGCAAGUCGAGCGGUAAGGCCCUUUCGGGGGUACACGAGCGGCGAACGGGUGAGUAACACGUGGGUGACCUGCCCUCAGCUCUGGGAUAAGCCUGGGAAACCGGGUCUAAUACUGGAUAUGACUCCAUGACGCAUGUUGUGGGGUGGAAAGCCUUGUGCGGCUGAGGAUGGGCCCGCGGCCUAUCAGCUUGUUGGUGGGGUGANGGCCUACCAAGGCGACGACGGGUAGCCGGCCUGAGAGGGCGACCGGCCACACUGGGACUGAGACAC
Molecule: ribosomal RNA, 298 nt
Filed under: uncultured bacterium
Lineage: Bacteria
Description: partial 16S ribosomal RNA
Rfam family: Bacterial small subunit ribosomal RNA
Source: RNAcentral